AAAAAUCUUUUCUUGGACGAUGUGAAAUGGCUAAGCGAAUGGUCUGUAACUAUUGUUUAGUAUUUUUAAUAUUUGUCUGUUAUUUUAAGAAUAAUUGCAGCGUUUCGAAGCUGAAGCGGAACUAAGACUGACACAGAAUUCACCUACUUUCUACAGAACCAACACGCGCUACACCAUACCGUGAACCUACACAGAGUAUAUCUAUUUAAUUUUCAAACUUUUACAACACAAUGAGAGUAGUGAACUAAACUGUUGAAUGCACAUCAUAGUCCUUUCUUUGAUUGCCAAUAAUUCGUCCUAUGAUCACUUCUAAUAUCAAGAUAACAGGGGGCACAUGGUCACACACAUCAUUUCCCAUCGAAGGCGAUCGCGGUCCUGCUCAACUUUCUGGUCGAGGGAACCUCCUUGCAGCGUUCGCCAUUGUCCGUCGACAGUCUGUCUGUCUGUCCGCCACCCCGUUCGUCCGUCUCUCCGUGUUUCGUCUGGCCAGCCGUCAAAAGCGAUUCCACAUGCGCUUAGGGAAAUACUCGCAUCCCAGAUUCUCGAUAAGCGAACCACUUGCAGAUUAUGAACUACGGCAAUUUAAUAUACGCGAGAAACAGAUCGAUGAUCGGUCAAAGUGAAAACACCCACAGCCCAGGAAGAGGGCAGUAGAGGGGGAUCCAGAUUGUUGCCUUCGGAAAAAUUCGGUACAGUAUCCGAGAGAAGCCGAAUGUCACAGAACCACCGCGUGUGGAUGUAAGGACCUGACGUUCUAGCCGUCCUGAGAUAUUUCAUCUUUUUGAAUUUUCUUUCAUACAAGGUUGGAGAAAAUGUUGGCUACUAACCGCAUCUCACGUACUUAUUUGUUCUACAUCAUCGAUAAAUCGUCUUGGUUUAGUCCUAACUGAUUAUGUUGAGAUAUCAGUCUUGGCAGUUUGAAAACCGUUCAAAAUUAACAAUUCAAUAUCUAUACGUGCAGUUUGAUAGCUGAGAUUGAAAAGUCUAUCAAUGAUUCCUAUAGAUACAGUGUCGGUCCUCGAUUAUUGCUGGGCUUUGUAAGAUGUGUUAUCAAUGGGAGAUAAGGUCCUAAGCAGAUAUAAGUUAUGGAAGAGAUAAAAAAAAAAAAUUCUUUUGAGCAACUACCACUGAAGAUUAUCCUAAUUUACCUUUGAAAGACGUUGAGAACUUUUCGAAAAGUGCUCGAUCUAAGGAGCUUGGAGUACAUCUUGACUCCACAGAUUUCACAUAUGAACACUUAUCACUUCUAGCGUGGACACACUAUACCAACGACGCCACCGCCGGAACACUGGUAACUUACUGAUUAAACCCUGAAUUAUCUUUGAAUUACCGUUUUAUCA
RNAcentral lists this unclassified non-coding RNA (1340 nucleotides) under Athalia rosae (coleseed sawfly). Its description in RNAcentral is "misc RNA ENSAEAG00005013028.1". The record is from RNAcentral. Lineage: Eukaryota; Metazoa; Arthropoda; Insecta; Hymenoptera; Athaliidae.